RNAcentral lists this ribosomal RNA (239 nucleotides) under uncultured bacterium. Its description in RNAcentral is "partial 16S ribosomal RNA". It matches the Rfam family "Bacterial small subunit ribosomal RNA", at positions 15 to 236 of the family's 1533-position model. The record is from RNAcentral.
GAUCCUGGCUCAGGAUGAACGCUGGCGGCGUGCUUAACACAUGCAAGUCGAGCGAAGCACUUAGGAAAGAUUCUUCGGAUGAUUUUCUAUUUGACUGAGCGGCGGACGGGUGAGUAACGCGUGGGUAACCUGCCUCAUACAGGGGGAUAACAGUUAGAAAUGACUGCUAAUACCGCAUAAGACCACAGCACUGCAUGGUGCAGGGGUAAAAACUCCGGUGGUAUGGGAUGGACCCGCGU